GUUGUUACUAAGGCAGCAGAGUAGAAAGAUGAAGUGCAAGGACCUGGAAAUCAGACACACCUGGGUUCCUGGUGAGCUUCACUGCUUCCUGGUCUCUGAUAUCAGCUCUGCCCAAAUUUCAGCUGUCACAGAAUGAGUGAUCCUCAUAGUAUAAUGGAAAUGCAUCAUCUCAGUUUCCCCAUGGCCUGAAUGUCCAUACAAAAUGAGAGCCAGUAGAGAAAAACAGAGGACGUGAGGAGUUUUUAAAAAUUGAGGAAAAGUGGAAGGAAAAGUAAGGAUGAAGGUGAAGAUGAAGGAAUAUGUCAGAGAUGCUAGCACUGGCAUCCCCCACCACACAGUACCAUGUACUGCUAAAGAACUCUAGAACAUACAGGGUGUAGACGGCAGUCUUCUUGGGGAAAAAGAGGCUUCAGGAUUGCAAGAUUUCAGCUACUGUCUCUCCUCGGAGCAGGAUUCCAUCUUUUCCAUGGCUGGGGCCCUUGACACAUGUCACUGUGCACUGCUCUUCUCGCUGGGAAAAGGAAACUGAGGCCCAGAGAGGGCAAGUGAAUUUCCCAAGAGUGUCCAGAUGAUACGGAGCUGAGCUGGAAAGUGAGCCUGGAUCUCUCUGGUUCUGAAAGCUUUGCUCGAAAGCACAGGAUGACACCUCCAUUCAAUCAAUAAGCACUGAGACCCUUCCAUGGACUCAGCAGGUCCUGCUGUCCCUGAAGGUUGACACUCUCAUUUCAAACCACAGCGAGAACCCCAAAAGGAAACAGUGCAAGGAAAAUAAUGUGAUAUUUGAGAGGCAGCAUGGAUUAUUGGGGACAGGGUUCAUGUCCCUUCUCUCCCACACACGUGGCAUGAUGUUAAGCGGGUCACCUCACCUCUCCAGGGUUGUUUCCUCAACUGAGAAAAUGAGGGGGUUGAGAUGAACGCCAGCCCUGGGGUGCUCAAUGCUGCAGUCUAGGGUGGUGUGGACUGGAAUCAGAAUUCUUUCUCCUCCGCUCUGGGUGCUGACACAUGAUCUCUGGCUCUCACUCCCCACCCCUAAUCUUGCCCAUCUGAGUUUCAGGUUAUUUUUUCCUUCCUCCUGCUCUUCAAUUUCCUUAUUGAGGAAGCUCUUUCCUGCUGCCUCUGUCCCCGCUGGAGCUGUUUGAUCCAGUAGAGCCAGUCGAAGCCAAGGGGACCCUGACUUGAAUCUUGCUUUCUGACAUGCUGGCUGUGGCUUGCUUGGGACCUGAAUAAGAGCUUGCUUACUCCCGGUGUUCACCACAGCGGAACCAUGGGUGCAGAAAUGUAAUUCUCAACCAGCCCAGUUUAAUCAGCGAAAGACAAUAGAGCUUGCAGGCGGUGUCAUGCUGAGUAUCUGAACACACCAUGGCUGCUGUCGCCCUUUUCAUUAAAAUGAUUGAAAAUGUAUUUCUAAACAGAAGUGAGGGUCCCUGUCUAAAUCAAGCCGCUGUAUUGGGCUUAUUGUCCCGAUCUGAAGUGCUUCAGCUUCUAGUGCUUCUCAAUAGAAGUUCAUUAUUACAACGAUAAUAACAACUGUAUAGAUACACAGAAAAGAAGUUCCCAUUUCAUAAGGAAAAAAGAAACUCAUUCAAACCAAGAGAGAAUGAAAAUUGCUCUUGUUCAGCAGCUCUACAAUUCCUGCUUUCCCUUUCUGCUGGAAAGGAAGUUGAAUUUAAAAGCUUAUCUUGGUUCGAUUUUCUUUUUCCCUAAACCAAAAUAGAAUAGCUAUUUAGCUUGAAAAUUUGUAAGAGCUCAAGUCAAUUGGUUAACCAAACACACACACACACACACACACACACUUACAUGCGCAUCUUAAUAUCCUCAUUAUAUAAAAUCUCAAUCACCAAAAAUGACCCCCAAAAUUAUAAGACUCCAAUAUAUGAUUGAGCAAAGGACAUAAACAGAUGGUUCAUAAGGAGGAAAGACACAUGAUAAAAAAUAUGAAAAAAUUUUCAACACACAGAUAAUAAAAGAAAUUCAGAUGAUAACGAGAUAUUGUAGGUGCUAAUCAAAGUAUCAAAGAUUUUAAAAAUUAUAGCAAAAGAGUUCCUUGCUUUUGUGUAAUGAGUUCCCAGAUAAUAUGUGAAAUUCACUCAUCCUCUUCCAAAUCAACAUUACUGUCUGUGAAAUGAACAAUACAACCAAGCACACAGAUCCUAGCCUCUGCUGGGAAAAUCCCGUGUAAAUCCACCAUCCUUUUUGUUUCUUAAGUUCCUCCUUGGUAAAAAGUUGUUUGGCUCAUGCCUGUAAUCCCAGCACUUUGGGAGGCCGAGGCAGGCAGAUCACCUGAAGUCAGGAGCUCGAGACCAGCCUGGCCAACAGGGUGAAACCCCAUCUUUACUAAAAAUACAAAAAUUAGCUGGGCGUGGUGGCGAAUGCUUGUGAUCCCAGCUACUUGGGAGGCUGAAGCAGGAGAAUCACUUGAACCCGGGAGGCAGAGGUUGCAGUGAGCCGAGAUCGCGCCACUGCACUCCAGCCUGGGCAGAAGAGUGACACUCCAUCUCAAAAAAAAAAAAAAAAUGUUGUUUGUGUUCAGAUUCUGAAAUUUCACAAUUCUCCCCAGGUACUGUUUUUCUUUGCCCCAAAGCCUUUAAGUCUUCGUUGAUGGAUAUGUAGACACCUAAUAAGUAUUUGACCUGAAAGUGUCUUUCAAAGCAUAGAAUUCAGAUGGUGAUUUUACAAAUGAAGAGAGUGAGGCUCACACAUUCUGAAGGGGGGAGUCAGGCUUUUUACCAUAAAAGUUUUUCCUUGGGGUAAUGGUCAAUAUCCACCAAAAUCCAGGUGGCACAUGCUUGAUACCCUUCUGAAAAGACUUAGUCUACUUCACUACUGGUUUUAGCAGGGUAGAGCCAGGGUCUCAGAACACAAUGAGCUGCUCAGGUGAAAGAAGAUCACACUAGGAUUUCUGCUUUCUAAUGCACCAUCCUUUUUAAAUUUUCAUUUUUCUUACUGUUAUAAUGUAUAGGUUAGUAGAGCACUUUACUUCUUGGGGAUACAUAAUUAAAGUUGUUUUGCUGGUAGGAUAGUGUUAUCAAAAAUUUGCAGGCAGCUGGAAUAGUGAGAUGUGAAUGUGUCUGAUCUCGUGCAAUUCAGGAAGCAGGGCCUUCAGAGUGAAGGGAGGAAGGAAAGCUGGCUGUGGUCAGAGGAGAUGACCAGCAGAGCUCCUAAUAGAGGGCAAGAGUCACCUCCUCACCCCACAGGCUGCAUUGAGACUAAGGCAACUGGAAAGUUCAACUGAAUCACAAGGGCGUGCUGACAUGCUGGGGAAAAGCCAAAAUUUUUAAAGGUCAUCUUGCCAGAAAAGUGGCUGCUGCUUAGGUCCUGUCCUGGCACCCUGGGCCCAGGAUCCCAGGACUCAGCUCAUGGGGAGCAGAGGGCUGUGGCAUGCCAAGUCAAAGGUCUCAUGGAGAUGGUUCCAAUUGGGAAUCAAUGGCAGAGAUGCCAAGACAAGCUAAGGGGCAUGGCAAUCUGAGGAUCCAAGCCACCUAGCACAGACACAGGGACAGGCAAGGGAACUAGAGACCUUAGCAGCUUGUCAGAGGGGAAGCGGAAGGCAGCAGGGGCCCAGAAGCAAACUCCCUAUGUCAGAUAGAGGUGUGUGCAGUGAAAAUGAAGGGGGAACCAGAACCCCUUGCAGGAAAUGUCCAGUGGAACUCCAUGAAGUCCCUCGAGUCGUCUUUGAACCGCUGAGCCAGGUAUUAGAGGACCCACAGCACACUUCUGAGCCUCGUUUCUGUCUCUCUUACCUACCACAAACUCUGGACAAUCAGCUCGCACAUUUGUUCCUUUAUUCCCAAGGAGAACAUGAGGAAAGGACGUAGAUAUCACCCAAAUGUAUAAUUUACCAGGUAAGAAAAGCCCAAUGGCUUUCUAAUUAUUUCUGGAUGUCCCAGCAGCCUCUGUCAGGAGUGCAGGUGUAAGUAGCCUCAUGUGCCUUUGCUCCGGCCUCCUUGUGGGAGUCCAGUACCCCAACCCCAUCUUGGGAGAUGCCGCUGGUCCAACCUCAGGAUCUCCUAAUGGAGUCAAGAGGUAAGGCUGAUUUGAAUUCACCCUUCUUCUCCUUAAAGCUAGUGCAACUCACAGAAAAUUGAGAGCCAAAUGGGAAACAAACUGUCAGUUUUCCUAACGGGUAGGCAGGUGUGUCUUAACCCCCAAGGCUUUCUGGGGGAGCCAGAGAGGAGAAAGUGACUUAGACCUGAGGACAAAGGAGAUCCACCUGCUUCUCUAAUUGUAGACCUUAAGCCUGCCUGUCACAUGGACUGUAGCGUACUGAGCACAGGGGUGGUGCCGGGCAGGUACAGCUCCCAGCACUCUGCUGUGGACAUCCUAACUCGCUAGAAGUUGACUCAGUCACAAACUAUCUAAGUUUAUAGCUGAAGCUCUAGCACCUGUUCUAGAACAGGAGAAUCUGAAGGAGGAGAUGAACUGAAUUUAGCACUGAUUUUCUUUAAAAAUAUUUAUAGAAACUAUAACAUUUCUGAGUUAUCUAGAAAUGUUAUUUUUGUUUAGUUUGGCUUUCUUUUUUUUUGCUUUCAUCUGAAAAUUAAACAUUUUGAGGUAAUUGUAGAUUCACAUGCACUUGUAAGAAAUAAUACAGGGAGAUCCCUCUAUCUUUCACCCAGUUCCUCCAACUUGGUAGUAUCUUGCCAAACCAUUGUACUAUUUCAUACCAGGACAUUGACAUUGAUACCAUCAAAAUACAGACAAUUUCCUUGGCUACAAGAGUCCUCCACAUCCACUUCCCUCCUGCACCCACCCCUUCCUUAAUCCUUGGCAACCACUGUUCUCCAUAUCUAUAAUUUUGUCUUUGCAGGAAUGUUAUAUAAAUGGGAUUAUACAGUAUGUAAUCUUUUGGGAUUGCACUGUUUUUUUAUUUGCAGCAUAAUCCUCUGAAAGUUGUUGCAUGUAUCAAUAGCUUUUUAAUCUUUAUUGCUGAAUGGUAUUCCAGGGUAUGGCGUACUACAGUUUGUUUAACCAUCCACCUGUUGAAGGAUAUCUGGGCCGCUUCCAGUUUGGGCAAUUGCAAGAUGCUACAGACAUUGAUAUACAGAUUUCCAAAAGACCUUGGCUCAGGUGUCACUUUUGCAGAAAAGCAUUUACUGACUGUUGACUUGGCCAAAUCCCUGUGCUGUGUUUCCUAGUACGGUAAAUCAACUGUAUCCAGUAGUGGGACAGAUGCAGCAUGAAAGAAGAAAGUUACAAUUGCUUUAUCUGAUGCUGUCACUCAUGCCUGGUGUUGAGAGGCGCACAUUUUAAAAAGUCUAAUAGCUCCGACAUAUCUAGGAAACAGAUGGGAAACAAAUGAAGCAUUGAUGGAUUCGCAAAUUCCAGUUCUUUGAUAUUUGUCUGCCCAGGAAUGGGUGGGACAGAGAAAUGUAAGGGAAUAAUGAGGAUACGGGUGGGGAAAGGCUUGCAAUUUUUCCCGUUCUUCUUUGGAUAUGGACUGAAGGAAGGAUGUGGGGAGGAGGUGUUUAUCUUUUGCUUGUACUCUGAACUUUUCCAAAGUUACUGCAUUCCUUGGGAUAUAAAACUGUAAUCAAGAGUCUCUAAUGGAUAACUGCAAUUAUGCAUUGAGUCAUUCAACAAAUACACAUUAAUACUGACUAAAUUAAGCUCGAAUGGAACUUCAGGGCAAAAGAACAGAGAAAAUAAAAUACCACUAGAGAAGGGAUCUGUGCUCUUUCCUGGACUUAAAUCUCCCACAGCCAGCACGUUUGACAGUUAAACUAGUCAAGCAAAUUAGCACAGGCCCAGAGGAUGAAAUCAAGGUGGGGGCAGGUAAGGUUCACAUAAUAAACACUCUCCCUAGACCCUGGACCUAGGGACAAUACUUCAGGAAGAAUUUUUUUUAUUAAUCUCAUUUAUUCAUUCAUGUAUUCACCAAGUAGUUAUUGAAUACCUCCAUGUGCCAGUCACCUUCAUAGGCUCUGGGAACACAGAGACAAAUGGGGUGCAGCUUUUGCCUUCGAGGACCGCCUGAUAAUGGAGGAGCAUGCUUGUUGUACUGUCCCCACACUUCUUUUUUUUUUAAUUUUACUUUAUGUUCCCGGAUACAUGUGCAGAACUUGCAGGUUUGUUACACGGUAUACGUGUGCCAUGGUGGUUUGCUGCACCUUUUAACCUGUCAUCUAAGUUCUCUCCCCUCGCCUCCCGCCCCCCAACAGGCCCCGGUGUGUUUUUGUUCUUCUCCCUGUGUCCAUGUGUUCUCAUUGUUCAAGCCCCAACUUAUGAGUGAGAACAUGUGGUGUUUGGUUUUCUGUUCCUGUAUUAGUUUGCUGAGGAUGACGACUUUCAGCUCCAUCCAUGUGCCUGCAAAGGACAUGAUCUUGUCCCUUUUUAUGGCUGCAUAGUACGCCCCCUGCACUUCUAAUAAAGAUGGCGCCAGGAAGGAAAGCCCAGUUUGCCUCAUUCCAGAAUGCCCCAACUUCUGCCAAAGAGGAGGUUUCCUCCAUUCACCUGUCCAUUUGGAACACAAUGAAAAUACAGAAUAUGCAGAAUAUGCAGAAAAUACAGAAUAUACAGAAAUAGAUGUAUAUGAAUAUACAUCUAUUUAAGAAAAAUUCACAAGGCCCCAAACUACUCUAGCUUUCCUAGGAAGUAGAGAAGACCCCCUCAAAAAAAAACACUGGCAAACUGAGCCUGCUAUUGGGGAAGGAAAUUCAAGACCAGGAAGGUCAGGACAUGUAUUCAUUAAAUGGCUAUAACACCUCAAUCCAAAUGCAGAGAAAUCUGAUGUACACGCUCCAAGAUAAGCAUCUCUAAGGUACAGUCAGUGGUCAAUUUUUCAACAUUUAUUUAAUAUCUUGCUAUAUUUAUGGCAUCGUGAAAUAGAUGCUGUAUUCCUUCUCUGAAAAUUUUCAAUUGAGGUGGGGACAUGAAUAAAUGUAUUAACCCAUUUAUGCCGGAGGUUGCAAUUUUUGUUUUCUGAAAAAUCAGACCUUGGUGAUGACCUUGAGCGGUAGGAUAUAAAAACUCCCAAAAGCCUAGCGUUUUAAUAAUGGAACACUAGGCAUAAGUAGCUUAAAACAGCAUAGAAAAGUCAUGUAAACUAUACAACAGUCAUGUAGAUAUGGUGCAUAUGGAGACACAGGGUUCCUGGGAAGGGCAAACCAUGGUACAGAGUUUACCAGGGAAGAGUUCCUAGGAGAAAUGAGCUUGGAACUGGAUGUUGGAAGAUCAUCACCAUGUGUGGUGGGGCAAGUCUUCAGCCAAACUUCCCUGGGGCUUUUUUUACUCAUCAAAAAAUGAGUACAAUGCACACAGAUUACAUGAAUUUUGUAAGGAUAAAAUAUGACAACAUUAGUAUGGCAUCCAUGCACAUAGGAGGCACUAAUGAAUAUCACAUUCCUUUCCCUUUUCUAUUUUAUGCUUUCCAUACUUGAUAUUAUUUAAUGAUAGAAAUGUUGAUGAAAAUAAGGAAUAGUACACCUCUCACACUUUCUAUAUUGAGCAUGCAUUACUCUUAACACAGAAAAAAUAAAGCACAAGAUUAAAAUAGUGUUUUAUUUGUAGAGUUUUGGUCUGAAAGAAGUUAACAGGUCCUUAGUAGUCACUUCACAGCAGAAAAUCAAAUGAGGGCUUCCCAGCCACACAGAAAUGUUAUUUUAAUCUGAUGUUCAGUGCCCUUCAGUUGCUAGUUAGACCCGCUUAGACUGAAACAGAUGCCACAAAUGCAAUGCUAUGUUCACCACCCAGUCGCUUUCCAAACACAGGGUAAGGAUUCAGGUCACUGUCCCCCAUCGACAAAAGAGCUUGAGCAUCACUGUCAUUGCUUCAUGCAGUCACAGCCCCGCUGGGAGGGACAGCCAUGACCCAGGCAGGUCUUGCCGGUAUCGGUGGUCAGAGACCAGGGACAGAAGAUGCACUGCCUGGAGUUGUCUUCUCCCAGGCAGCGUGCAUGGCUGCCUUGCAAGCACAGGCUUGCCCCAUCCGAAGCUCCAUCUUUGCUCAGGCUCAGAGAGGAAAAAUUUGCCAGCUGCGAGUGAAAAAUGUUCAGACCUCGAAAUCUUUCUGCAGCCCAUACUGGGUCACACUUGCAAUGCCCAAUACAAUUUUUGGCUAAGAAAUGCUUGUAAUUCAGAGAUAAACCUACGAUUGCAGGUUAUAUCACGGCGAGGAAAAAUUUGCUUUCCAGAGAAAUAUCACUUAUCUCAGACUUUUUAAUUCCUCUGAAAAAAAUAGGGGUUUAAGAAAUGGUGGCUCAGCUAUGAGUUCCAUCUCCGGUUACUAAGGCUUAUGUUCUGUUACAGGCUCAAUUUUCCUCCCUAAAAAUGACAUUGAAGUCCUAACCCGCAGUACUUCAGAAUGAUUACAUUCUGGUGACAUCUCUUCAGAAACAGGGUCUUCUUAGAGCCACACCCUUGGGACUGCAGCCCUGUGAAGACUGAGGUUCUGACGAAAGUCAAGAAAAAUCUGCAUUGCAACUCUUCGAAGAGAAGAAUGUGACAUCUUGGUAAGUACAGUCAAUAGCUCUGUCAUUUUUUAAAAAGUGUGUUCUUAAAAUGAUUUUUAAUAAGAGUAACAUUGAACCACACUGGAGAAAAUAGGACAACGAAAACGAAAUGGAAACAAAAUCAUUCAUAAUUCUAGAACCCUAAUACAACUUCUCAAAUACAAAAAAAAGGAAUCAUUAAAUUGAAUAUUUUCAUACAGUUGAAUUUUAUGCAUUUAAAUGGAAAUUGUAAAGAAUUUUCCAUUUAGUUGUGAUGAAUUUCUGAUGAUAUAAUACAUAUUUAUAAUCUUUAAGCUGUACAACUUAAAUACAUAAAAUUUUUAACUGUCAACUAUAAAGCUGGGGGGACUCUUUAUGUAAAUAUUUAGUAAACAUGUUUUCCUAAAGAAUCAGAAUAUUAGAUUCUGUGUACUGUGUGACCUGGGAAAGUAUGCUCAGAAGGAAAUACACCAAAAUACAGUGGGUGAAUUUUACUUUCUUCUUGAUAGUGUUUUAAAAUUUUUAGAAAUGUUUUGCAAUGUCUUAAAAGUGACCUUCUACCCAGAAUUUGGUUAAUGUUCAGUUUUAUUUCCUUCUUAUUUUUCUGAGUAUUUACUUUUUCAAUUCAGCUGAAACUUUUCAAGAAUACCAUGACCUUUCUCUCCUUUUAAAAAAAAAGUUUCAAACAGACAAUGUUAAAACAGAAGAAGUUUUGGAAAUCAACUACUUAAUCUAUUAUGAUAUGGAAACUGUAAACUAAAACUGUUCAUAUCCACUCCCCAAGAUUACAUCAAGAGUGGCAGGGCUGGGACACCAGAGUUUCCGGAAUGGCUCCUCAGGGCUCCAGCUGCAACAAACUCGCUGUGCCAAUGUGCAUGCAGUUCCUGAUUCUAAUCAAAUAAGUAUCAUAACCGAGUUCACCCGAAAUAGAGUAUACUGCACAGAAACUUAAUAAUGGUGUCGUUUUCCAGAGGCAGCUGCAUAAAUCACAGGAGACUGAAUACAGGAGAAGAUGUAAGAAUCCAGUCAGCUUCUAUCAAACCAGACAUAAAAGACAUUUGCAGAUAUGUAAAACAAUGCCACUCUUCACAUUGCAUUUUUAAAAAAUAUUAUUUCCCAGAAAAUAUAUCAUCUAUGUUAAUAUGGAAUGGGGUUUGUUAUUCUUAUUUUAAGUAAGGUAUUAUAUAAAUAUUUUUAAUGUCUCAGUUUUAAUUUCUAAUGAAGUCAAUAUCAAUAGAUGUAAUCUAUAUAAACCAAAGUUCUCCGGGGUCUUCAAGAGUGUAAAGGAGUCCUGAGAUCAAAAGGGAUGAAAACCUCUGCCCUACCCUGGCCACCUAAGGGGCUGAAGCCCUCCAGGAGCAGUGCUCCCGGCUCUUGCUGCUGCCCCAGAGCUGAGGGUUUUGGAGCACUGGUGCCCUACAAAACGGAGAGACUGGAAGGAGUUUUCUGGGUCAUGAGGUUGGAACUGCUGGCAGAAGAUCACAGCAUAACUUUCUUCUGGGUUAUAGGAAGAAAUAUAUAAGUAGA
This 9952-nucleotide long non-coding RNA is filed under the name Homo sapiens (human). RNAcentral describes it as "non-protein coding LINC00589:18". The record is from RNAcentral. Lineage: Eukaryota; Metazoa; Chordata; Mammalia; Primates; Hominidae.